Molecule: transfer RNA, 84 nt
Filed under: Halomarina oriensis
Lineage: Archaea; Methanobacteriati; Methanobacteriota; Halobacteria; Halobacteriales; Natronomonadaceae
Rfam family: tRNA
About the family: Transfer RNA (tRNA) molecules are approximately 80 nucleotides in length. Their secondary structure includes four short double-helical elements and three loops (D, anti-codon, and T loops).
Source: Rfam by way of RNAcentral
GGUGAGGUGGCGGAGCCUGGCCUAACGCGCCGGUCUUGAAAACCGGUGGCAUUUGCCUCCUGGGUUCGAAUCCCAGCCUCACCG